This is a non-coding RNA of Cicer arietinum (chickpea), 2234 nucleotides long. NCBI's taxonomy places the organism in Eukaryota, Viridiplantae, Streptophyta, Magnoliopsida, Fabales, Fabaceae. The record is from RefSeq and is a predicted model, not a curated record.
AAUGGAUUGAUGAGAAGAAUUAUGCAUGUAUAUGGCUAAGGUUUAGGUGUUAGUUUUGGACCAAGCAAAGCAAAGUGGAUAAAAGUGAAAGAGGAAGACGUGGCAAAAGAGGUGCCUCAGUGGUAACGUUAGUUGUAGUUUGGAGGAAGUUGGAAUUAGCAUCAUCAUCAGCAUGGCUUCUCUGCUCCAUCCAACUACAACUCCUAACACCACCACACUUAAGCAGCCGCGUAAUAAUUGCUUCUGUCCCUUAAAACCCACCAUUCCAUACAAUGUUUCUUUCUUAACUAACACAAACCGUUUCAAGACCAAUUCUACUAAGUGCUAUGCAUUUUUUGAUAAUGUGGACCACUUCCCUGCUCUCCUCCGAUCAGGACUGCUUCAGUUUGAAGAUCUACCAGACAUGCAGAGGUGUGAAGUUCUCGUGUUUGGUGCUCUCAUAUGGCUUUACUUAACUGCAAGACCUGGUGUUCUCAUUGGUGCCAUUGAUGCUUACCUUCUUGCUCCUCUUCAACUCGCUUUCGACAAUCUUUCUGGAAGGAGAAACUUGAAGACCACUGAUUUUCUUGUUGGAGAUAAGCUCGGUGAAGGCUCCUUCGGUGUUGUUUAUUCCGGUCUUUUGGAUCCCAAAUCUAAGGAUAAUAAAGUCAUUCUUAAAAAGGUUAAGGUUGGAAUCCAAGGGGCCGAAGAGUUUGGUGAGUUUGAGGAAUGGUUCAAUUACAGGCUAUCUAGAGCAGCACCUGAAACAUGUGCUGAUUUCCUUGGAAGUUUCGUAGCUGAUAAAACUAACUCACAGUUCAUAAAAGGUGGAAAAUGGCUUGUUUGGAAGUUUGAGGGAGACCGUACUCUUGCCGAUUACAUGAAACAACGCAACUUUCCUUCAAACUUAGAAUCUGUAAUGUUUGGACGCGUCUUGCAAGGUGUAGACUCUUCUAGGCGAAAUGCAUUGAUCAUCAAGCAGAUCAUGCGCCAGAUAAUUACUUCUCUAAAGAAAAUUCAUGAUACAGGCAUCGUUCACAGAGAUAUAAAGCCAGCCAACUUAGUGGUUACUAAACGGGGGCAGAUUAAACUCAUUGAUUUUGGUGCAGCAACAGACCUGAGGAUCGGAAAGAAUUAUAUUCCCAACCGCACCCUUUUGGAUCCCGACUAUUGCCCUCCAGAACUAUAUGUACUCCCGGAAGAAACACCAAGUCCUCCACCGGAGCCUAUUGCUGCUUUCUUUUCACCAAUCCUAUGGCAGUUAAACAGCCCUGAUCUGUUUGAUAUGUACUCUGCUGGGAUUGUACUCCUGCAAAUGGCAAUACCAACCUUAAGGUCUCCUGCUGCUUUGAAGAAUUUCAAUUUGGAAAUAAAAACAUGUGGAUAUGAUUUGAAAAAAUGGAGGGAGAAUACUCGCCUCAGGCCCGACUUCCAAAUUCUUGAUAGUGAAUCUGGUAGAGGGUGGGACUUAGCAACAAAGCUUAUCUCUAAGAGAGGUCCCUUAAGAAGAGGACGUUUAUCUGCUGCUUCAGCUUUGAGACAUCCUUAUUUUCUUCUGGGAGGUGAUCAGGCAGCGGCAGUUCUUUCAAAAUUAAGCUUAAGUAGAAAGUGACCAGCAUAAUAAUAUACAUGGUGUUAAAGCUCAUCGUGAUAGAGUACUUUUCUCAACACUUUUUUCUUCUUACAACCCCAGUGGCAUCUCUCAGAGCAGAGGGAGUUGAAUAGGGCAAGCCUUGUGGAUUGAAGAGAUAUCAUGCUUGACGCAGAAGGAGCUUUUGAGAGAACAAUGGCAUACCCGUCAUCCAUGUAAUCCGUUCCAUCGGGAAAGAGUUGCCACAAAAGGCUUCCAGCCCCACUACCUCCUUUCUUUGUAGAGUUUAGGAUGGUCUUGUACACAGUAUUUAUUAGUGUAUCUCUAUAUGUUGAAUUAUAGCCAGGGUCUUUUGCAGAUACACCAAACUCACCAAAAACAACUGGCAUUCCAAGAUACUUUUCAGCAUCCUCCAUGUGGGCUUCCAUCCAAGACUUAACAAAUGGGAUAUGGGUAUCCGCAAUUGAUUGUGAAAUCCUUCAACCAGGUAACUAAUUCCUAGUUAGAUAUUGUUGUAUUCAUGCAUAAAGAAGAAAUGCUUAUGGCAUAAGAGUUCAAUAAUUAUGCCAAUCAUAUUUCACCAUCAUGUCAAACUUGUUUGUUUAUCGGUGCAUAGCUAUUAAACUCAAUGACAAAAAACGCGGUCACUUGCAUAUUAAUAUGA